Molecule: long non-coding RNA, 822 nt
Filed under: Sinocyclocheilus grahami
Lineage: Eukaryota; Metazoa; Chordata; Actinopteri; Cypriniformes; Cyprinidae
Description: lncRNA (ENSSGRG00000019361.1)
Source: RNAcentral
CAUAAAGAAGACUGAACUCAAGUCACGAUGAAGAUCCUCCUCAUCUUCUUCACUUUCUACCUGAUCUCAGGUGCAGUGAAAGACAUUGACGUGACUGGGUAUUCUGGAAGAAGCAUUCAUGUUGAUUCACACGAGUCUUGGUUCAAUUCUUCUGCUAAACACAUGAGUAAGUUACCUGGGUGGAGAAUAAUUGUGUUUGAUAAGAGACAUGAAAAAUGGAUUGAUGAAGGACGAUUCACAUUGUUUAAAAACAAUGAAGACAAACUUAUGAUCUACAUCAGAGAUUUAAAUCAACAUGAUGCUGGAAGAUACCAGAUUAGCGUUGAAGGCAAAUGGUCCAUCGAUAUGACUUUGAAAGUGGAAGAAGGUCAGUUAUUUUAAGAUCAAAUUCUUAAGAUCAAAAGUGUAGUAAAACAACUGAUCAUUUCAAAACUUUUAAUGUUUGUGAAAUCUAUUUCUUUAAUUUUGUGAAUUACAGAAAUAUGUUGUAAAAUGUCGAAGAGAGUAAUGGUGAAGAUUGGAGAAACUGACACCUUCAGCUAUGAAUAUUCAAACAGUCAUAUUAAUAACUACGAAAUCAUAUUCAAAGAAGGAAGAGACACCAUUGACACGAUCUACAGCAAAAGGAAGAAAACAGAAAGAUUCAGUGUUUCAGAUGACAAACAUAAAAACAUCUUCAGUGUGAGAAUCACUGCUGUGACAGCAGAUGAUGGAGGAGUUUAUUUGUGUGGAGUUUGGAUCAACAGACACUCGUACAGUUACUCCAUUAUUACUACAGUUUACCAGUUUAUUAAUAUGUUAUGUUAUUAUAAUUCAUAAUGU